Molecule: ribosomal RNA, 2925 nt
Filed under: Escherichia coli
Lineage: Bacteria; Pseudomonadati; Pseudomonadota; Gammaproteobacteria; Enterobacterales; Enterobacteriaceae
Description: bacterial LSU rRNA
Rfam family: Bacterial large subunit ribosomal RNA
Source: RNAcentral
GGGUUGUGAGGUUAAGCGACUAAGCGUACACGGUGGAUGCCCUGGCAGUCAGAGGCGAUGAAGGACGUGCUAAUCUGCGAUAAGCGUCGGUGAGGUGAUAUGAACCGUUAUAACCGGCGAUUUCCGAAUGGGGAAACCCAGUGUGUUUCGACACACUAUCAUUAACUGAAUCCAUAGGUUAAUGAGGCGAACCGGGGGAACUGAAACAUCUAAGUACCCCGAGGAAAAGAAAUCAACCGAGAUUCCCCCAGUAGCGGCGAGCGAACGGGGAGGAGCCCAGAGCCUGAAUCAGUGUGUGUGUUAGUGGAAGCGUCUGGAAAGGCGCGCGAUACAGGGUGACAGCCCCGUACACAAAAAUACACAUAUUGUGAGCUCGAUGAGUAGGGCGGGACACGUGGUAUCCUGUCUGAAUAUGGGGGGACCAUCCUCCAAGGCUAAAUACUCCUGACUGACCGAUAGUGAACCAGUACCGUGAGGGAAAGGCGAAAAGAACCCCGGCGAGGGGAGUGAAAAAGAACCUGAAACCGUGUACGUACAAGCAGUGGGAGCCUCUUUAUGGGGUGACUGCGUACCUUUUGUAUAAUGGGUCAGCGACUUAUAUUCUGUAGCAAGGUUAACCGAAUAGGGGAGCCGAAGGGAAACCGAGUCUUAACUGGGCGUUAAGUUGCAGGGUAUAGACCCGAAACCCGGUGAUCUAGCCAUGGGCAGGUUGAAGGUUGGGUAACACUAACUGGAGGACCGAACCGACUAAUGUUGAAAAAUUAGCGGAUGACUUGUGGCUGGGGGUGAAAGGCCAAUCAAACCGGGAGAUAGCUGGUUCUCCCCGAAAGCUAUUUAGGUAGCGCCUCGUGAAUUCAUCUCCGGGGGUAGAGCACUGUUUCGGCAAGGGGGUCAUCCCGACUUACCAACCCGAUGCAAACUGCGAAUACCGGAGAAUGUUAUCACGGGAGACACACGGCGGGUGCUAACGUCCGUCGUGAAGAGGGAAACAACCCAGACCGCCAGCUAAGGUCCCAAAGUCAUGGUUAAGUGGGAAACGAUGUGGGAAGGCCCAGACAGCCAGGAUGUUGGCUUAGAAGCAGCCAUCAUUUAAAGAAAGCGUAAUAGCUCACUGGUCGAGUCGGCCUGCGCGGAAGAUGUAACGGGGCUAAACCAUGCACCGAAGCUGCGGCAGCGACACUAUGUGUUGUUGGGUAGGGGAGCGUUCUGUAAGCCUGUGAAGGUGGCCUGUGAGGGUUGCUGGAGGUAUCAGAAGUGCGAAUGCUGACAUAAGUAACGAUAAAGCGGGUGAAAAGCCCGCUCGCCGGAAGACCAAGGGUUCCUGUCCAACGUUAAUCGGGGCAGGGUGAGUCGACCCCUAAGGCGAGGCCGAAAGGCGUAGUCGAUGGGAAACAGGUUAAUAUUCCUGUACUUGGUGUUACUGCGAAGGGGGGACGGAGAAGGCUAUGUUGGCCGGGCGACGGUUGUCCCGGUUUAAGCGUGUAGGCUGGUUUUCCAGGCAAAUCCGGAAAACCAAGGCUGAGGCGUGAUGACGAGGCACUACGGUGCUGAAGCGACAAAUGCCCUGCUUCCAGGAAAAGCCUCUAAGCAUCAGGUAACAUCAAAUCGUACCCCAAACCGACACAGGUGGUCAGGUAGAGAAUACCAAGGCGCUUGAGAGAACUCGGGUGAAGGAACUAGGCAAAAUGGUGCCGUAACUUCGGGAGAAGGCACGCUGAUAUGUAGGUGAAGCGACUUGCUCGUGGAGCUGAAAUCAGUCGAAGAUACCAGCUGGCUGCAACUGUUUAUUAAAAACACAGCACUGUGCAAACACGAAAGUGGACGUAUACGGUGUGACGCCUGCCCGGUGCCGGAAGGUUAAUUGAUGGGGUUAGCGGUAACGCGAAGCUCUUGAUCGAAGCCCCGGUAAACGGCGGCCGUAACUAUAACGGUCCUAAGGUAGCGAAAUUCCUUGUCGGGUAAGUUCCGACCUGCACGAAUGGCGUAAUGAUGGCCAGGCUGUCUCCACCCGAGACUCAGUGAAAUUGAACUCGCUGUGAAGAUGCAGUGUACCCGCGGCAAGACGGAAAGACCCCGUGAACCUUUACUAUAGCUUGACACUGAACAUUGAGCCUUGAUGUGUAGGAUAGGUGGGAGGCUUUGAAGUGUGGACGCCAGUCUGCAUGGAGCCGACCUUGAAAUACCACCCUUUAAUGUUUGAUGUUCUAACGUUGGCCCGUAAUCCGGGUUGCGGACAGUGUCUGGUGGGUAGUUUGACUGGGGCGGUCUCCUCCUAAAGAGUAACGGAGGAGCACGAAGGUUGGCUAAUCCUGGUCGGACAUCAGGAGGUUAGUGCAAUGGCAUAAGCCAGCUUGACUGCGAGCGUGACGGCGCGAGCAGGUGCGAAAGCAGGUCAUAGUGAUCCGGUGGUUCUGAAUGGAAGGGCCAUCGCUCAACGGAUAAAAGGUACUCCGGGGAUAACAGGCUGAUACCGCCCAAGAGUUCAUAUCGACGGCGGUGUUUGGCACCUCGAUGUCGGCUCAUCACAUCCUGGGGCUGAAGUAGGUCCCAAGGGUAUGGCUGUUCGCCAUUUAAAGUGGUACGCGAGCUGGGUUUAGAACGUCGUGAGACAGUUCGGUCCCUAUCUGCCGUGGGCGCUGGAGAACUGAGGGGGGCUGCUCCUAGUACGAGAGGACCGGAGUGGACGCAUCACUGGUGUUCGGGUUGUCAUGCCAAUGGCACUGCCCGGUAGCUAAAUGCGGAAGAGAUAAGUGCUGAAAGCAUCUAAGCACGAAACUUGCCCCGAGAUGAGUUCUCCCUGACUCCUUGAGAGUCCUGAAGGAACGUUGAAGACGACGACGUUGAUAGGCCGGGUGUGUAAGCGCAGCGAUGCGUUGAGCUAACCGGUACUAAUGAACCGUGAGGCUUAACCUUACAACGCCGAAG